GGUGCCACCUGGCAUAGACAUCUGCUACCACAUUGACCUCCAGGUUGUCUUGGCUGCUCUGCCUGGCAUGCCAGCUGCCUACAUCUUUCUUCACCACUCCAAGUUGGUCUUUCCACAUCUGACGUUUCUAUAAAGAGAUCAAUCUUCCCAUACAGAUAAGAGUGUUUCUGAAUUAAGGGUAUAGGAAAGGAGGGUAGCUUUUUAGAACUUCUAAAACUAGAUUUCAAAGCCCAUAAAAAGUAUGUUGAUUUUCCCUUAUUUCUAGAAAAUUAGAAAUAGUGUGUGGUUUUC
Molecule: small nuclear RNA, 291 nt
Filed under: Tursiops truncatus (common bottlenose dolphin)
Lineage: Eukaryota; Metazoa; Chordata; Mammalia; Artiodactyla; Delphinidae
Description: 7SK RNA (ENSTTRG00000025207.1)
Rfam family: 7SK RNA
About the family: 7SK was discovered as an abundant small nuclear RNA in the mid-70s but a possible function has only recently been suggested. Two independent studies have found that 7SK RNA binds the CDK9/cyclin T complex (known as elongation factor P-TEFb). P-TEFb activates transcription by phosphorylating the C-terminal domain of RNA polymerase II.
Source: RNAcentral